GCUUACGGCCACACCACCCUGAGCGCGCCCAAUCUCGUCUGAUCUCGGAAGCUAAGCAGGGUCGGGCCUGGUUAGUACUUGGAUGGGAGACCGCCUGGGAAUACCAGGUGCCGUAAGCU
RNAcentral lists this ribosomal RNA (119 nucleotides) under Lates calcarifer (barramundi perch). The record is from RNAcentral. Lineage: Eukaryota; Metazoa; Chordata; Actinopteri; Centropomidae.